This 958-nucleotide ribosomal RNA is filed under the name uncultured delta proteobacterium. RNAcentral's name for it is "bacterial SSU rRNA". It matches the Rfam family "Bacterial small subunit ribosomal RNA", at positions 55 to 1023 of the family's 1533-position model. The record is from RNAcentral. Lineage: Bacteria; Deltaproteobacteria.
UGGCGAGUCGAGCGAGAAAGCGACUUCGGUCGCAAGUAAAGCGGCGGACGGGUGAGUACAACAUGGGUAAUCUACCCGAAGUUCGGGACAACUCCGAGAAAUCGGGCUAAUACCGGAUAAGACCACGGUAUCCGCGGAUACAGAGGUAAAAGAUUCAUCGCCUUCGGAUGAGUCCACGCCCCAUCAGGUAGUUGGUAAGGUAAAGGCUUACCAAGCCUAAGACGGGUAGCCGGCCUUAGCAGGUGAACGGCCACAUGGGAACUGAGACACGGUCCUGAAGCCAGACGGGAGGCAGUAGUGGGGAAUAUUGGGCAAUGGGCGAAACUGAACCCAGCGAUGCCGCGUGAGGGAUGAAGGCCUUCGGGUUGUAAACCUCUGUCAGGAGGGACGAUGGGACUUCGGUCUUGACUGUACCUCCAGAGGAAGCCCCGGCUAACUCCGUGCCAGCAGCCGCGGUAAUACGGAGGGGGCAAGCGUUGCUCGGAAUUACUGGGCGUAAAGGGUCCGCAGCUGUCGGACAAGUUGGGUGUGAAAGCUCAGGGCUUAACCCUGGAAUUGCAUCCAAAACUGUCUGACUAGAGUCCGAGAGAGGUUGGCGGAAUUCCCGGUGUAGCGGUGAAAUGCAUAGAUAUCGGGAGGAACACCAGAGGCGAAGGCGGCCAACUGGUCGGCACUGACGCUCAGGGACGAAAGCGUGGGUAGCAAACCGGAUUAGAUACCCUGGUAGUCCACGCCGUAAACGGUGGGCACUAGGUGUGGGGCCUGAUCAAGGGGCUUCGCGCCGUAGCUUAACGCAUUAAGUGCCCCGCCUGGGGAGGUACGGCCGCAAGAGAAAACUCAAAGGAAUUGACGGGGGGCCGCACAAGGGGGGAGAUGUUUGCUUAAUUCGAGGCAACCGAAGAACCUUACCUGGGUUUGACAUGUAGGGAAAAACAUAGAGAUAUGGUGUGUUUCGACG